This 251-nucleotide non-coding RNA is filed under the name Vitis vinifera (wine grape). RNAcentral describes it as "Bacterial small subunit ribosomal RNA". It matches the Rfam family "Bacterial small subunit ribosomal RNA", at positions 945 to 1216 of the family's 1533-position model. Lineage: Eukaryota; Viridiplantae; Streptophyta; Magnoliopsida; Vitales; Vitaceae. The record is from Rfam by way of RNAcentral.
UUUAAUUCGAUGCGAAACGAAUAAUCUUAUCAUGAAUUGAUAUAUUGUAAAUCAUCUUGAAAAAAAUGGGUGCCUUCAAACAUGUGGUACAUGACUGUAAUCAGCUCGUGCCGUAAGGUGUUAGGUUAAGUUUCGCAACAAGUGCACCCCUCGUAUUUAAUUGUCACAAUUGAGUUUGGAAUCCUAAACAAACUGAGUCAAAGAAAGGUGAGGAUGAUUUCAAGUCAUCAUGACUCUUAUGCCUUUAGCGA